UCAGUGGAGUUUCUCUAUAAAUAAGAACAGGCGCUUCGUCGGUUAGAGACAGAGAAGUCAUUUGCGAUAUUAUUAGCUUUUCGACGAUAUAGUCGCACAAGUUACACAUUGAAAGAUGCAGAUCUUUGUCAAGACUCUGACGGGCAAGACCAUCACCCUGGAGGUGGAGCCCAGUGACACCAUCGAGAACGUCAAGGCCAAGAU
Non-coding RNA from Lepisosteus oculatus (spotted gar), 204 nucleotides. NCBI's taxonomy places the organism in Eukaryota, Metazoa, Chordata, Actinopteri, Semionotiformes, Lepisosteidae. The record is from RefSeq and is a predicted model, not a curated record.